Small nucleolar RNA from Cajanus cajan (pigeon pea), 77 nucleotides. Lineage: Eukaryota; Viridiplantae; Streptophyta; Magnoliopsida; Fabales; Fabaceae. The record is from Rfam.
AAGAGAUAUGAGGAUACUUAUCCAUCAAUUCUGCAAUAGAAUGAUGAUUACAAACAUGCACUACCAUCUGAUCUCUU